Molecule: non-coding RNA, 72 nt
Organism: Candidatus Melainabacteria bacterium
Lineage: Bacteria; Bacillati; Candidatus Melainabacteria
Source: Rfam
GGGUCUUUAGCUCAACGGUAGAGCACACGCCUCUUAAGCGUUAGGUUGUGAGUUCGAAUCUCACAAGACCCA